GUGUUGAGGUUCGGUCGGCUUGAGGGGUGAAGAGGCUAGACGACGCUGA
This 49-nucleotide small nucleolar RNA is filed under the name Pyrobaculum neutrophilum V24Sta. RNAcentral describes it as "PNEsR48". Lineage: Archaea; Thermoproteati; Thermoproteota; Thermoprotei; Thermoproteales; Thermoproteaceae. The record is from RNAcentral.